CUCUAGCGGCUGUCUCAUUGACAGCCACUAGAGGCGCUUGCGUGCUUCUCACUGUGAUUUUCACAGUGAGAGCACGCAAGCGUCCAUAGGAAAGCAUUAUGAAUGCUUUCCUAUGUGACCAGCUGAAUGCGCGCGCAGCUCUUGCCGCGCGUGCGCAUUCAGCCCAGGAGGAGGAACGGAGGAGGAUCGGAAGAGGAGAGCUCCCCGCCCAGCGCUGGAAAAAGGUAAGUUUUACCUCCUUUCCCCCUUCCAGAGCCGGGCAGGAGGGGGACCCUGAGGGUGGGGGCACCCUCAGGGCACUAUAGUGCCAGGAAAACGAGUAUGUUUUCCUGGCACUAUAGUGGUCCUUUAAAAUUGUAUACAGUGUAACAUUCUUCAAUCUUACACUGGGUAAGUAUAUUAGUUCUUAGGCAAUACUGUGCUUCGGAACUUCGGCACUUUGACACUUCGGAACGUCGGCACUUCAGCACUUUGGAAAUUCAGUAAUUUCGGAACUUCGACAAUUCGGCAAUUCAUCUAUUCGGACAUUCGGAACUUUCUCAAAAUUCGUCCAAAUUCACAUUCGGACCGAAACAAAUUGCACAUGUCUAGUAAUCUGGGUGUAUUUAGGUCUUCACCUUCCUUGAAGACUGAGUGGGCUAUAUCUCUAUCCUAGUUCACCAUUAUCCUAUACUUGGGACGUAUGGCUCAAAAAAGCUGAUAUUUGGCACCCAGAGUUAACCAUUACAUUAUGGCAAUAUCUUUAUCAGAUGAUAUGGUACAAAAACAAAGUCAUGGUGAAAAUAUCUUACCUCUAUAGAGGACAGCCUUUCCACGAUGGCAGUCAAAAUCCUGCUUUCUCAUUGGCUUAUGUUAAACUUUUUAUUUAUUAUUAUUUUUAACUCUUAUUUCAAAUAUGCCAAAACAUUCCCUUAUGUCCUUGGAACGUCAAUAUGUUUAUUGAAUAGUGCAUGUGUCAAAAGGUAUAUUCAUAUUGAAUGGCAUUGUGAGAAAUACACCACGUAUUCAAGUAAAAGUGUGGUCACAGAACAGACAAUAUAAAAAACUUUUAUUAUGGUAUUUGAUUAAAACUAUAAUUAUAAUAUGAUUGAUUUGUGAUGUAAAAUAUAAUUCAAGGUGCAUUGUAAAGACAUCCUUUUUUUUCAUUAUAAAAUGAAAACAUGACAGAAUAAAAAGUAGUAAAAAGC
This is a non-coding RNA of Pelobates cultripes (western spadefoot toad), 1187 nucleotides long. The record is from the annotation of a GenBank genome assembly. NCBI's taxonomy places the organism in Eukaryota, Metazoa, Chordata, Amphibia, Anura, Pelobatidae.